AACACUGUGCUAGCAACAAUACAAAUCAACACUGAGCUCCUUGAGAACUGUUUUUCUGUAUAGGGGACCCACUCAGUUCUCAAGUUCAAGAGAUACGAUCAUACCAGUGCUUCUCCCAAUGCAUUUGUACCCUCUAUUGUUUCAGGUUUAAGGUGCCAGGGAAACAAGUAACCAAUCACAAAGGAGUGCCAACUGUGUAACAAUAGUGAGGGGACUCAUGAAAAUUCUAAUGUUUAUCAUUUUAUUCCUGCCUUGUGAAAAUAUAACAGUCUAGGCCUGGAUGUCUCACUGAUGAAGCUGUGAGAGCUCUUGCCUGAAUCAGCUAAACUCUUUGGGCCUUAUUUUCCGCAUUUGCAAAAUCAAAGAUUUAAACUAGACUGGUGUUCCCAAAAGCAAGAAGACUGUAGUUGGCACAAGGAUGAACUUUUUUUUUUUUUACUAAUUAUGUUUAACACAUACUUGAAAAAAUUUUAACUAACACAUAAAACCUGGGGUUUUACUGAGUGCUUGCACCCUCGAUGGCUCAAAGGGGAGCUCUGUUGACUGUGGCCUAGAACCCAAGGCCCUGAGGACAAGGACCUGUGACUGGGAACCAUCUGAGCCCAGGUAGAAACGGAGUGACUAGGAAGCAGCACUCAGCCUUGCAGGCUGUCUAGUUAGUGAGUACAGCUGCCUGAGCGGAUUCCCCAAUCCUGUACUGCGACACUUAAAACAGAUCACUAGAAACUGGAACCUCAAGAGAUGGAGGGGAGGGGACCCUAAAUUUCUCCUCAUGAUCCAACUUACCUGUCCACAGGAGGCAUCACCUGCUUGCAUGGAAGUAGGAAUAGCUGAAUUGGGUGGCCUGGACUGCAGAGGAGCGAAGCACUUUGUCAGAGAAUCCUCUGUUGCUUGGGUGACUGAAGUAGUGCCCAUUCCUGGUGGAAACAUGGAUGUUGGCCUCCUUAACUGCCUCCCAGAGAUCAUUCAACUGGUAGAGUUAUGGUGGGAACAUUGGUUUGACUGUGGUGAAGCUAUAAAUGCUCAAUUAAAAUUUAUUGAAUGAAUUAAUGAACCAAAUGAAUGGUUCCAGUUUGGACAAAUCAGAGCAGUUUCAGAAGCAUUUUUAUUUCUAAGAAUUCUAUAAUCAAAUUUUAUCAAACUCUUGAAUGCAUUGAAAACUCCUUUCUGAAUAUGGCCUACAUUUGACAGCAAAAGGAUUAGGAAAUGGAAGGAAACUUUUACUGAGCGCCUGACAUAUGCCAGGUAUUUUGCUGAUGUCUGUAUAUUUCUUUAAGCUCUGUAACCAUUUUGUGGUGUUGGAAACUAGAUCUCAGGGCUAAAUAACUUGUCGGUGGCCUUUCAGGGAGCAAGUGGCAGAGCUAGGAUUGUUGUCCUAAACCAACUAUGAGUAGCACUCCCUUCCACUUUCAAUAGUGUUCUACUGUGGAUCAUAAAGUCUAAGGCUGCCCUAUCUAUAUAUGAGGUCUUGAUUCUAUGAUUUCAAAUUGAAUCUAAUAAUUUUUUUGAUUACUGAAGCAACAGGAACUUUCAUUUCCCAGGCCUGUGAAGUAUGAGGGACUGACAGCACAUGAAGUGACCCCUGUCUAGAGUUUGCUUUACAUUUCUGAUACAGAAAUUCUGCUAUUUCUCCUUUAAAAGUAUAGUUGUUAAUCCCCUUCUGGUCAGUUUGGUUCUAGUUAAUUUGGGAUUAUUAUAUAAGUAUUUACUUCUAUUAAUAGUGGCUACCACUUAUUGAGUGCUUAGAGUAAGUCAGGCUAAGUACAUGGUCUCAUUUAAUGCAUUUAUUAAUAUUAUAAGAUAGUUUCUUACUUUCUAGAUAAGGAAACUGACACUCAGAGCAAUUAAGUGACUUGAAGGAAGAGAUGAAAGCAGAUUUUCCUAAUCUCUUAACCUUUAUACUACAUUAAGAUGUGUAUACAAACACACAGCAGAUAAUUUAAAAAACUGUCAAAGUUGGAGACAAGAUGGCAGGUAGAAGGACUUGAGUUCACCUUCUCUCAUGAUAACACCAAAAUCACAACUGACUGCUGAACCACCACUGACAAAAAAGAUCCGAACCUACCAAAAAAGACAUUCUACCCCAAAGAAGCCACAACAAGAUGGUAGGGGGGUACUUUUGUGAUAUAGUCAAAUCCCAUAUUUCCAAGUGGGUGGCCUACAAACUGUAAAAUAAUUAUAUUGCUGAGGAUCUCCCACAGGAGUGAGAGUUCUGAGCCCCAUGUCAGGCUCCCCAGCCUAGAGGUCUGGCACUGGAAGGAGGAACCCCAGGAGCACUUGGCUUUGAAAUAGGCAGGGCUUGAGUGCAGAAGCUCCACAGGACUGAGGGAAACAGAUUCUACUCUUAGACGGCUCACACAAGCUUUCACUCUGGGACCCGGGGCAAAGCAAUGACACCAUAGAAGCCUGGGCCAGACCUACCUGUGAGUCUUUGAGAGUCUCCUGCGGAGGCAGCAGUCAGCUGUGGUUUACUGCGGAGGCAAGGACACUGGUGGCAGAUGCACCAGGGAAUGCUCCUCUGCAUGAAUUCUCCUGGAGGUUGCCAUUUUGGCACUGAGACCUGGUCCCGCCCAACAGCCUACAGGCUCCAAUGCUGGGACGCCUCAGGCCAAACCAACAAGGUUGGAACACAGCCCCACCCAUCAGCAGACAGGCUGCCUGAAGUCAUCCUGAGCCAACAGCUGCCAAUAAACACACCCCUUAACAUGGGCCCUAGCCAUCAGAGUGACAAGACCCCAUUCCACCCACCAGUGGACAGGCCAGUCCCUCCCACCAGGAAGCUUGCACAAGCCCCUGGACCAAAUUCACCCAUAAGGGGCAGACUCCAGAACUAAGAAGAAUGACAAUUCUGUAGCAUGAGGAAUGGAGACCACAAACACAGGAAGUUAGGCAAAAUGAGACAGUAGAGAAAUAUGUUCUAGAUGAAGGAACAAGAUAAAACCCCAGAACAACAACUAAGUGAAGUGGAAACAGGCAAUGUACCUGAAAAAGAAUUCAGAGUAUUGACAGUAAAGAUCACCCAAGAUCUCAGAAAAAGAAGGGAGGCAGAGACCAAGAGGAUGCAAGAAAUGUUCAAUGAAGAGCUAGAAGAUUUAAAGAACAAACAAACAGAGAUGAACAAUACAAUAACUGAAAUGAUAACUACACUGGAAGGAAUCCAUAACAGAAUAAAUGAGCAGAAGAAUGAACAAGUGAGCUGGAAGAUUGGCAGAAAUCACUGCAGGGGAACAAAAUAAAGAAAAAAGAAUGAAAAAAAGUGAGGACAAUCUAAGAGACGUCUGGGACAACAUUAAAUACACCAAUAUUCACAUUAUGGGGGCCCCAGAAGGAGAAGAGAAAGAGAAAGGGUCUGAGAAAAUAUUAGAAAAAAGAUAAUAGUCGAAAACUUCCCUAACAUGAGAAAGUAAAUAGUCACUCAAGUCCAGGAAUCCCUGAGAGUUCCAUACAGGAUAAACCGAAGGAGGAAUAUAAUGAGACACAUAUUAAUCAAAUUGACCAAAAUUAAAGA
This is a non-coding RNA of Odocoileus virginianus texanus, 3508 nucleotides long. The record is from RefSeq and is a predicted model, not a curated record. NCBI's taxonomy places the organism in Eukaryota, Metazoa, Chordata, Mammalia, Artiodactyla, Cervidae.